Molecule: ribosomal RNA, 443 nt
Filed under: uncultured bacterium
Lineage: Bacteria
Description: partial 16S ribosomal RNA
Rfam family: Bacterial small subunit ribosomal RNA
Source: RNAcentral
CCUACGGGUGGCAGCAGUGGGGAAUAUUGGGCAAUGGGCGCAAGCCUGACCCAGCAACGCCGCGUGAAGGAAGAAGGCUUUCGGGUUGUAAACUUCUUUUCUCAGGGACGAAGCAAGUGACGGUACCUGAGGAAUAAGCCACGGCUAACUACGUGCCAGCAGCCGCGGUAAUACGUAGGUGGCAAGCGUUAUCCGGAUUUACUGGGUGUAAAGGGCGUGUAGGCGGGAAAGCAAGUCAGAUGUGAAAACCAUGGGCUCAACCUGUGGCCUGCAUUUGAAACUGUUUUUCUUGAGAACUGGAGAGGCAGACGGAAUUCCUAGUGUAGCGGUGAAAUGCGUAGAUAUUAGGAGGAACACCAGUGGCGAAGGCGGUCUGCUGGACAGCAACGGACGCUGAGGCGCGAAAGCGUGGGGAGCAAACAGGAUUAGAUACCCCAGUAGUC